Molecule: ribosomal RNA, 2775 nt
Filed under: bioreactor sludge metagenome
Description: bacterial LSU rRNA
Rfam family: Bacterial large subunit ribosomal RNA
Source: RNAcentral
AUAUUAUCUUUUUGUGGUGGACUUGGAGGUUUGGUGUAGAUGCCGCAGGCUAAGCGAAAUGAAGGGGGUGAAUCGAACAGAUGAAUACGGCCUCCGUGUUGCUUGAAUAGUAGAAAUACUGAUGGUGUCAUGGGUUUGUUGUUUACAACAAAUCUAGUAUGACGAAAGAAAAACUAUAAGCAGUGAAGCGACACAUCCCAGUAACUGUAUAGAAAAAUCAAAAGAGAUUUUCGUAGUAGCGGUGAGCGGGGCGGAAAUAAAAAACCCACACUUGAUGGGUUGGUAGCGCGUAGAAGUUCGGUCGCCGGUGACGGUUUUAGAUCCGAGUGUAUAAUACAUAGAGGGUGCAAGUCCCGUAUACGUCUACUUUAUGGGCAGAAGUACGACUGUUUUGCUUAAAUAGUCGGAAGAUUGGGGGACCACCCUCAAGCCUGAAUAGCUAAACCUACCGAUAGUGAACAAGUACCGUAAGGGAAUGUUGAAACAGGAUUAAUUGAGGGUUAACGUGAAAUAACUACAAACAAAAAGAUAAAUAAGCAGUUAUCGUGGAAUACAGCUAGACUGUUGAAGCGACAUCGUACCUUGUGUAUAAUGGACCAACAAGUUAAAAUUACUAGCAAGCGUAACUUAAUAGAGGAACGCGUAGCGCAAGCAAAUCGUAAGACGUUUGUUAAGUUAGUAGUUUUAAACCCGAAGCCGGGUGAUCUAACCAAAAGCAGGCCAUUGAGGGCCGUACCAAUAUAUGUUGCAAAAUAUCUGGAUGACUUUUGGUUAGGGGUGAAAGGCUAAUCAAACUUGGGUAUCUCUGGUUCUCCGCGAAAUCUAUGUACGUAAAGUAUCAGGCUGACAAAAAUCAGGGGUAGAGUUCUUUUUACUUGAGGGGGGUUUAAGUACUUUACUGAGUUUAGAAAAACUUUGAAUACUGGUUUGUUUUGAAGCUGAUAGUCAGACAUUCAGCGAUAAGGUUGUGUGUCAAGAGGGAAACAGCCCAGAUUGUAUGUUAAGGCCCUUAAAUAGUAGGUAAGUGAUUAAAGGCAUGAAGUUUCAUAGACGUCUAAAAUGUAGGCUUAGAAGCAGCCAUCAUAUAUUGAAAGCGUAAAAAAUCAUUGGAUAAAGAUUGUGGAGUGCCCAUAAUGUGCGGGGCUUAACCUACUUGCCGAAACACCAAAUUUCUUAAUUGAAAUGGUAGCGGAGUUUUCUGUAAAGCGAAUUAAUCGAAUAAAAGAAAUAAACCGAAAGGUAGACUCAGAAAUAAGAAUGUUGGUAUGAGUAACGUUAAACUUUUUGUCGCCUAGAACCUAAGGUUUCCGACGUUCAGGUAUUCUGCGGACGGGUUAUGCGGUAGUUUAGGUCUACUCUAUGAAAAUAGGGGCUGAUAUUGUCCUUAACAAUAAGGAAUGCAUUUUGCUGGGUCGUAUGACUAUAACUAUAAAGCUUAACGAGAGUGGCUUAUUGGGUAAGAUCAUACCUAGAAAUCCUCAAAAUGUGAAUAUGUACCGUACUGAAAACCGACACUGGUAGGUAAGUGGAGAACACUGUGGCGCUAUGGAAGAAGUAUAUUGAAGGAACUAGGCAAAAUGACCUCGUAACUUCGGGAUAAGGGGGUAACUGCUUGCCUCUGUAAAGAGGGUAGUAGUUGAACGUGAAAAUGGAGGGGGGCGACUGUUUACUAAAAACACAGGACUCUGCUAACUUGUAAGAGGAUGUAUUGGGUCCGAGGCCUGCCCGGUGCCAGCAAGCUAACAGGAGGUGUUAACGCACUGAAUUUAACCCCUGGCAAACGGCGGCUGUAACUAUAACGGUCCUAAGGUAGCGAAAUUCCUUGUCGGGUAAGUUCCGACGUGCAUGAAUGGCAUAACGACUUUCCUGCUGUCUCCAGUAUAUGUUCAGUGAAAUUGAAUUUUUUGUGAAGAUGCGAAAUAGUGACGGCCAGACGGAAAGACCCCAUGCACCUUUACUGUGAUAAUACAUCAUCCCAUACGGCUUUUUGUGUAGAAUAGGUAGUAAGUUUUGUCUUUUUGGCGCUAGCUGGGAAGUUUACUGAAAUGUGUAAUACUACCCUGAAUGCUGUAUGGGAUUUAUCCAACCCCUUAAGAGGGGGGAAACCGUGUAUUGGAGACAGUUUGACUGGGGCGGUCGCCUCCAAAAGCGUAUCGGGGGUGUGCAAAAGGUAAACUCAAAACGGAUAUCUCUGUUUGUAGAGCAUAAUAGUAAAUGUUUGCUUGACUGCGUAACGGAUACGUUUAGCAGGGAGACUCAAUGUCUCGGCUAUAGUGACCCGAUAGCUCUGUGUGGAAAGGCUAUCGCUUAACAAAUAAAAGGUACGCUGGGGAUAACAGGCUGAUGCCUCUUGAGAGUUCUUAUCGACGGAGUCGUUUGGCACCUCGAUGUCGGCUCAUCACAUCCUGGAGCUGAAGAAGGUUCCAAGGGUUCGGCUGUUCGCCGAUUAAAGUGGUACGUGAGCUGGGUUUAAAACGUUGUAAAACAGUUUGGUCCCUAUCUACCGUCACAUUAAAAAACCUAACGGGGGCGUUUAUUCUAGUACGAAAGGACCGGAGAGAGUUAACCUAUUGUUAUACGGCUGUCGAAUACGGCAAAGUCGCGACGCUAUGUUAAGCAGGCUAUAAUCAUUGAAUGUAUCUAAAUGAGAAAAGCCAACCCUGCGGUUUAUAAUAAAAUAGCUAGUGUGGUUAUAGAGGAUAACCUUAAUAGACCCGGAUCUAAUUCUAUAAUAGGUGUAGUAUGUGCGAAAGCUGGAAAGCCGGAGAUGGUUUU